GGACGGCUCAUUAUAUCAGUUAGAUUUUCUAUGGUAAUGUAAUUAAUUAGGUGGAUAACCGAGGUAAUUCUUUGGCUAAUACAUGGGUAAAAGUUCAACUGCUUUACGGCAGACGAACUGCACUUAUUAGAUUUAAACCAAUCAUGGUAACAUGUUGAAUGAUGAUUCAUAAUAAUUAAGCGAAUCGCAGUGUCUUUAUGACGGCGAUAAACCUUGAACUUUCUGCCCUAUCAGUUGUCGAUUGUAGGGUAGUGGCCUACAAUGACUUUAACGGGUGACGGAGAAUUGGGGUUCGAUUCCGGAGAGGAGGCCUUAGAGACGGCCACCACAUCCAAGGAAGGCAGCAGGCGCGCAAAUUACCCAAUGGUGGAAUGCCGAGGUAGUGACAAUUAAUAUUAUCGCAGAGCCAAUUUUGGUUUUGUUAUGAAAUGAGGGCAAACUAAACCCCACACCGAGGAUCUAUUGGAGGGCAAGUCUGGUGCCAGCAGCCGCGGUAAUCCAGCUGCAGUAGAAUCCAUAAAAGUUGUUGCAGUUAAAAAAGCU
RNAcentral lists this ribosomal RNA (543 nucleotides) under Thraustochytrium pachydermum. RNAcentral's name for it is "SSU rRNA". It matches the Rfam family "Eukaryotic small subunit ribosomal RNA", at positions 91 to 628 of the family's 1831-position model. Lineage: Eukaryota; Bigyra; Thraustochytrida; Thraustochytriidae. The record is from RNAcentral.